This 313-nucleotide unclassified non-coding RNA is filed under the name plant metagenome. RNAcentral describes it as "partial contains 5.8S ribosomal RNA, internal transcribed spacer 2, and large subunit ribosomal RNA". The stretch from base 1 to 105 matches the Rfam family "5.8S ribosomal RNA", at positions 50 to 154 of the family's 154-position model. The record is from RNAcentral.
GAAAUGGGAUACGUAGUGUGAAUUGCAGAAUUCAGUGAAUCAUCGAAUCUUUGAACGCACAUUGUGCCCUUUGGUAUUCCAAAGGGCAUGCCUGUUCGAGCGUCAUUUGUACCCUCAAGCUUUGCUUGGUGUUGGGCGUUUUUUGUCUUUGGCUCGCCCAAAGACUCGCCUUAAAACGAUUGGCAGCCGGCCUACUGGUUUCGCAGCGCAGCACAUUUUUGCGCUUGCAAUCAGCAAAAGAGGACGGCAACCCAUCAAGACUCCUUCUCACGUUUGACCUCGGAUCAGGUAGGGAUACCCGCUGAACUUAAGC